CUGAGUCCUUUCUUUUCAACAGACUUCACAGUAUCUUCACAAGGAGUAGAUUCCAUCUCAAGAAACCACUUUCUUUGCUCAUCCAUAAGAAGCAAUUCCUCAUGCAUUAAAGUUUUGUCAUGAGAUUGCAGCAAUUCAGUCACCUCUUCAGGCUCCACUUCUAAUUC
Ceratotherium simum simum (southern white rhinoceros) is the source of this 167-nucleotide non-coding RNA. The record is from RefSeq and is a predicted model, not a curated record. NCBI's taxonomy places the organism in Eukaryota, Metazoa, Chordata, Mammalia, Perissodactyla, Rhinocerotidae.